This 497-nucleotide ribosomal RNA is filed under the name uncultured bacterium. Its description in RNAcentral is "partial 16S ribosomal RNA". It matches the Rfam family "Bacterial small subunit ribosomal RNA", at positions 28 to 507 of the family's 1533-position model. The record is from RNAcentral.
GAUGAACGCUGGCGGCGUGCCUAAUACAUGCAAGUCGAGCGAACGGACGAGAAGCUUGCUUCUCUGAUGUUAGCGGCGGACGGGUGAGUAACACGUGGAUAACCUACCUAUAAGACUGGGAUAACUUCGGGAAACCGGAGCUAAUACCGGAUGAUAUUUUGAACCGCAUGGUUCAAAAGUGAAAGACGGUCUUGCUGUCACUUAUAGAUGGAUCCGCGCUGCAUUAGCUAGUUGGUAAGGUAACGGCUUACCAAGGCAACGAUGCAUAGCCGACCUGAGAGGGUGAUCGGCCACACUGGAACUGAGACACGGUCCUGACUCCUACGGGAGGCAGCAGUAGGGAAUCUUCCGCAAUGGGCGAAAGCCUGACGGGGCAACGCCGCGUGAGUGAUGAAGGUCUUCGGAUCGUAAAACUCUGUUAUUAGGGAAGAACAUAUGUGUAAGUAACUGUGCACAUCUUGACGGUACCUAAGCAGAAAGCCACGGCUAACUACGUG